ACACAUGCAAGUCGAACGAUGAACCGCUUUCGGGCGGGGAUUAGUGGCGAACGGGUGAGUAACACGUGGGCAAUCUGCCCUGCACUCUGGGACAAGCCCUGGAAACGGGGUCUAAUACCGGAUAUGACUGUCCGCCGCAUGGUGGAUGGUGUAAAGCUCCGGCGGUGCAGGAUGAGCCCGCGGCCUAUCAGCUUGUUGGUGAGGUAGUGGCUCACCAAGGCGACGACGGGUAGCCGGCCUGAGAGGGCGACCGGCCACACUGGGACUGAGACACGGCCCAGACUCCUACGGGAGGCAGCAGUGGGGAAUAUUGCACAAUGGGCGAAAGCCUGAUGCAGCGACGCCGCGUGAGGGAUGACGGCCUUCGGGUUGUAAACCUCUUUCAGCAGGGAAGAAGCGAAAGUGACGGUACCUGCAGAAGAAGCGCCGGCUAACUACGUGCCAGCAGCCGCGGUAAUACGUAGGGCGCAAGCGUUGUCCGGAAUUAUUGGGCGUAAAGAGCUCGUAGGCGGCUUGUCACGUCGGUUGUGAAAGCCCGGGGCUUAACCCCGGGUCUGCAGUCGAUACGGGCAGGCUAGAGUUCGGUAGGGGAGAUCGGAAUUCCUGGUGUAGCGGUGAAAUGCGCAGAUAUCAGGAGGAACACCGGUGGCGAAGGCGGAUCUCUGGGCCGAUACUGACGCUGAGGAGCGAAAGCGUGGGGAG
RNAcentral lists this ribosomal RNA (702 nucleotides) under Streptomyces sp. Its description in RNAcentral is "bacterial SSU rRNA". It matches the Rfam family "Bacterial small subunit ribosomal RNA", at positions 51 to 768 of the family's 1533-position model. Lineage: Bacteria; Bacillati; Actinomycetota; Actinomycetes; Kitasatosporales; Streptomycetaceae. The record is from RNAcentral.